RNAcentral lists this ribosomal RNA (406 nucleotides) under uncultured bacterium. Its description in RNAcentral is "bacterial SSU rRNA". It matches the Rfam family "Bacterial small subunit ribosomal RNA", at positions 32 to 430 of the family's 1533-position model. The record is from RNAcentral.
AAUCAACGCUGGCGGCGUGCCUCAGACAUGCAAGUCGAACGAUUAAACUUGCCUUCGGGCAAGAUAUAAAGUGGCGCACGGGUGAGUAACACGUAAGCAAUCUACCUUCGAGUGGGGAAUAACAUCGGGAAACCGAUGCUAAUACCGCAUAAUGCAGCGGCACCUAAUGGUGACAGUUGUUAAAGGAGCAAUUCGCUUGAAGAGGAGCUUGCGGCAGAUUAGCUAGUUGGUAAGUAACGGCUUACCAAGGCUACGAUCUGUAACCGGUCUAAGAGGACGGUCGGUCACACUGACACUGAAUAACGGGUCAGACUCCUACGGGAGGCAGCAGUCGGGAAUUUUGGCAAUGGGCGAAAGCCUGACCCAGCAACGCCGCGUGAAGGAUGAAGUAUUUCGGUAUGUAAAC